Molecule: non-coding RNA, 100 nt
Organism: Caerostris darwini
Lineage: Eukaryota; Metazoa; Arthropoda; Arachnida; Araneae; Araneidae
Source: the annotation of a GenBank genome assembly
AACGGCCGUACCAUGCUGAAUAUACCGGUUCCGAAGUCAAGCAUCAUUGGGCGCGGUCAGUACUUGGGUGGGUGACCACCUGGGAACACCGCGUGCCGUU